Molecule: small RNA, 118 nt
Filed under: Arabidopsis thaliana (thale cress)
Lineage: Eukaryota; Viridiplantae; Streptophyta; Magnoliopsida; Brassicales; Brassicaceae
Description: ATSL146580
Source: RNAcentral
CACACCAGGGUAGGUCUCAAGUCCAAGCAUGUCGAUUUCAUUGUCAAAAUGACCAAUGUUACAGACAAUGGCAUUGUUCUUCAUCUUCCUCAUGUGAUCAACCAUAAUAAUAUCUUUG